GAUGAACGCUGGCGGCGUGCCUAAUACAUGCAAGUCGAGCGAACAGACGAGGAGCUUGCUCCUCUGACGUUAGCGGCGGACGGGUGAGUAACACGUGGAUAACCUACCUAUAAGACUGGGAUAACUUCGGGAAACCGGAGCUAAUACCGGAUAAUAUAUUGAACCGCAUGGUUCAAUAGUGAAAGACGGUUUUGCUGUCACUUAUAGAUGGAUCCGCUCCGCAUUAGCUAGUUGGUAAGGUAACGGCUUACCAAGCCGACGAUGCGUAGCCGACCUGAGAGGGUGAUCGGCCACACUGGAACUGGGACACGGUCCAGACUCCUACGGGAGGAACCAGAAGGGAAUCUUCCGCAAUGGGCGAAAGCCUGACGGAGCAAGGCCGCGUGAGUGAUGAAGGUCUUCGGAUCGUAAAACUCUGUUAUUAGGGAAGAACAAAUGUGUAAGUAACUAUGCACGUCUUGACGGUACCUAAUCAGAAAGCCACGGCUAACUACGUG
RNAcentral lists this ribosomal RNA (497 nucleotides) under uncultured bacterium. RNAcentral describes it as "partial 16S ribosomal RNA". It matches the Rfam family "Bacterial small subunit ribosomal RNA", at positions 28 to 507 of the family's 1533-position model. The record is from RNAcentral.